UGAAAGUGGAUUACAGGAUUACAGGU
This 26-nucleotide non-coding RNA is filed under the name Homo sapiens (human). Lineage: Eukaryota; Metazoa; Chordata; Mammalia; Primates; Hominidae. The record is from RNAcentral.